This 497-nucleotide ribosomal RNA is filed under the name uncultured bacterium. RNAcentral's name for it is "partial 16S ribosomal RNA". It matches the Rfam family "Bacterial small subunit ribosomal RNA", at positions 28 to 507 of the family's 1533-position model. The record is from RNAcentral.
GAUGAACGCUGGCGGCGUGCCUAAUACAUGCAAGUCGAGCGAACGGACGAGAAGCUUGCUUCUCUGAUGUUAGCGGCGGACGGGUGAGUAACACGUGGAUAACCUACCUAUAAGACUGGGAUAACUUCGGGAAACCGGAGCUAAUACCGGAUAAUAUUUUGAACCGCAUGGUUCAAAAGUGAAAGACGGUCUUGCUGCCACUUAUAGAUGGAUCCGCGCUGCAUUAGCUAGUUGGUAAGGUAACGGCUUACCAAGGCAACGAUGCAUAGCCGACCUGAGAGGGUGAUCGGCCACACUGGAACUGAGACACGGUCCAGACUCCUACGGGAGGCAGCAGUAGGGAAUCUUCCGCAAAGGGCGAAAGCCUGACGGAGCAACGCCGCGUGAGUGAUGAAGGUCUUCGGAUCGUAAAACUCUGUUAUUAGGGAAGAACAUAUGUGUAAGUAACUGUGCACAUCUUGACGGUACCUAAUCAGAAAGCCACGGCUAACUACGUG